RNAcentral lists this transfer RNA (72 nucleotides) under Paramuricea clavata. It matches the Rfam family "tRNA". From Rfam's summary of the family: Transfer RNA (tRNA) molecules are approximately 80 nucleotides in length. Their secondary structure includes four short double-helical elements and three loops (D, anti-codon, and T loops). The record is from Rfam by way of RNAcentral. Lineage: Eukaryota; Metazoa; Cnidaria; Anthozoa; Malacalcyonacea; Plexauridae.
GCCUCUGUAGCUCAGUUGGUUAGAGUGCGCAACGGAAUCGCAAGGUCGUAGGUUCAAUUCCUAACAGAGGAC